Long non-coding RNA from Populus trichocarpa (black cottonwood), 567 nucleotides. RefSeq lists it as uncharacterized. The record is from RefSeq and is a predicted model, not a curated record. The transcript has 2 exons. Lineage: Eukaryota; Viridiplantae; Streptophyta; Magnoliopsida; Malpighiales; Salicaceae.
UUAGUGUUUAUCUUUCCAAAAAUUUUCUCUACUCAAUUGAUGUCAUUUUACAUUUUGCAGUUUAGUGUUUAUCUUUCCAAAACUAACACCAAGUUGACUAUUUUAACUAUCAUAUGUGCAGUCGAAGACUCGAGGAAGCUUCUGCAGGAUAUAGUGUUUGUCAGACUGGAUAGUGGAUAAAUGUAUGAGUUGCACAGUUCUCUGUUGUCUUUAUGAUAUAUAAGUAUAUUUGUCAAAGUAAGAAGAUGGAUGGAGCUUGCUAGCAGCUUAUCACGAAGAUAGAAGAGCUUCAUAUGGACAUCAAUGUGAAUUCUAAUCUCUGCCUGCUAGCCAAAGUCCGAAAACUGUAAUCACAGUAUGAAAUAAGGAUGGAUGGAGGGGAUGAAGAAGUGAGGAGGUAGUUCUAUUUCCGCGGUUCGGCUGGGCAUGGCAUGAGGCGGUUAGAGUUGGUUCACAUAAGUUCUGAUUUGAGUCAUUAUAUUUCAUGUAAAUUAGUUAGCAUUCAAACAAUGUUUGGUUGAGAUUAAAAAGAAAAACUUCAUUGUUAACCAUCUUAUGUUGGCCCAA